Molecule: long non-coding RNA, 544 nt
Organism: Strigops habroptila (Kakapo)
Lineage: Eukaryota; Metazoa; Chordata; Aves; Psittaciformes; Psittacidae
Exons: 2
Source: RefSeq, a predicted model, not a curated record
CACGUCAUGCCCAGUAUAUAAACCGGGGGGAGUUACCCGGAAGGCCCUGAUCACUGCUCGGGUCGGGCUGGGUAUCGGUCGGCGGGUGCUUUAAAUCCAAAGAAGCUGUACUCCAUCAAGAAAUGACAACAGCAAGCUUAAUGCCACUGUGAAAGUCCCAAAUGAAAUUUGGCAGUAGUCAGAAAGUGGCCAGAUAAUAAGGCUAUGACUCGACAGGUACGAUGAAGGAACAGUUGCAUUUAUGAAGCCACUGACUAUGGUCCCAGCGUCAGAUGAGUGACAGUUGGAAAAGCCUUUGGUCGCCAAGCUUUUAAAGACAACAGAGCAACUAUGCAAUUAUCUAUGAAACCUAUUGCAAGAAGAAAAUAUACGCAAAAUGCUUUUGCAGCACCAGUCAGGGGAAGAAAAGUAAAAGAAUGAAAAAAGGAAGACUUAAUCUCACACUACUGUCCUUUGCACUCUUCUGGUGAUCUAAAAAGACUACCAUGGUGGUACCGUUAUAAGGCAACAGAUAACUGUGUAAUAAAGGUAAAUGACCUACUGA